CCUACGGGAGGCAGCAGUAGGGAAUAUUGCUCAAUGGGCGAAACCCUGAAGCAGCAACGCCGCGUGGAGGAUUAAGGUUUUAGGAUUGUAAACUCCUUUUGGUAGAGAAGAUUAUGACGGUAUCUAACGAAUAAGCACCGGCUAACUCCGUGCCAGCAGCCGCGGUAAUACGGAGGGUGCAAGCGUUACUCGGAAUCACUGGGCGUAAAGAGUGCGUAGGCGGGGUAAUAAGUCAGAUGUGAAAUCCUGUAGAUUAACUACAGAACUGCAUUUGAAACUGUUAUUCUAGAGUAUGGGAGAGGUAGGUGGAAUUCUUGGUGUAGGGGUAAAAUCCGUAGAGAUCAAGCGGAAUACUCAUUGCGAAGGCGACCUGCUAGAACAUAACUGACGCUGAUGCGCGAAAGCGUGGGGAGCAAACAGGAUUAGAUACCCGGGUAGUC
This 440-nucleotide ribosomal RNA is filed under the name uncultured bacterium. RNAcentral's name for it is "partial 16S ribosomal RNA". It matches the Rfam family "Bacterial small subunit ribosomal RNA", at positions 338 to 795 of the family's 1533-position model. The record is from RNAcentral.